CUCCUUUCACAUUAUCAAUUUUCUUUGAGAUUUCCUUGUUUAUUUGGUAAGAUUGGUGACACUUUACAGAUAAAAACAUAGAUCACAACUUCCCAUUGACGAUUGUCUUUCCACUCACUUUUUCUUCUUUUUGUUCAACUCUAUUUUCUCGUUUCACACUUCAUUUUCUAUAAUGGAACAAUUUUAAAACAUUACAUGUCUAAAAAUUAGAUAUUGUAAUAUACAAAAAAUAAAAAUAAUAAAAUAAAAUAAAAUAAAAGAUUUAUUACCAUAUUUUAAUUGUCAUUAAGAUUUUGAAGUUUUUUCAUUGUAACCUUCUAUUUAUUAUGACGUCACGGUAUGGAACGUGGCAACAAUACAAUAGACGUUAAUUAAAACCAUGAUUCUAUCAAAAUUAAUGCAAAAGAAAAUUAUAAAAAUAUAUAUUUAUCCCCUAACAAAGUCUAGUGAUUUGAUAUUGACAAAAAUAAAUAUUAUAUUCGACGUUGUGAGUAUGGGACCAAAUCUCCUCCAAUCGAGUCAAUCACUCAAAACGCUUCAGGACCAAAGAUGCAAGAUUGAUUCAAAUCAUUUAUUAAUAAUUAUUUAAUAAGAAUAAUCAAUGGAAAUUUUAUCGAUCAUAAUAUAUUUACUUUGAAUAGAAUAAUCUUGAAAAUCCUAAAACAAACGGGGCAAGGAACAAAGAUAAAUGAAUAUGUUACAAUAGAAUAAAGAAGUGGGAGAAAGCUGUAGGGUGUUAUAUACAUUUUUUUAGUACGUUUGGCUCCCAUUAAUUUUCUUUUCAUUACAUUUCAUUUUUCUCUCUUAUUUUCAACCACAAAAUCUUCUAUAAAAUAAUAUUACACGUAAACAAAAUUUUUUUUUUCAACCAUUAAUUUUUAAAAAAAUACUAUUCCAUUUAUUUUCUUUUCUACAAAGUGGGGGCCAAAGAAGGACGUAGUCUCGCGUUUACCAAGAACCUUCAUGGAAAGAAAUUAAGAGCAAAAUUCAAUUAUUGAACCAAAGGAAGGGCCUGUCAUGUCAGGAGGUGGUUGGAAAUUUUCAUGAAGGACCGAGCUCCACAUAUAGGAGGUCGGUUCACAAGGGCCUCACUGUAGAGGUUGGGCCCCACACACAUUAAAAAAAGUUGGCCCCCACCUCCCCUCUCACUUGACAGCCCUAUACUUGCAUCUUUUUCCAUGAAGUAUCAAUGCAAUUAUUGAACAAAAGAGACAAAAUAUCUCUAAGCUAACUAUUAUUUUUUUU
This 1245-nucleotide long non-coding RNA is filed under the name Olea europaea subsp. europaea. Lineage: Eukaryota; Viridiplantae; Streptophyta; Magnoliopsida; Lamiales; Oleaceae. The record is from RNAcentral.